RNAcentral lists this transfer RNA (76 nucleotides) under Mesorhizobium sp. Its description in RNAcentral is "tRNA-Pro". It matches the Rfam family "tRNA". Rfam says of the family: Transfer RNA (tRNA) molecules are approximately 80 nucleotides in length. Their secondary structure includes four short double-helical elements and three loops (D, anti-codon, and T loops). The record is from RNAcentral. Lineage: Bacteria; Pseudomonadati; Pseudomonadota; Alphaproteobacteria; Hyphomicrobiales; Phyllobacteriaceae.
CAGGGUGUGGGAAAGUUGGUAAUCCGCUCCCCUCGGAAGGGAGAGAUCGUCAGUUCAAGUCUGACCACCCUGACCA